Molecule: ribosomal RNA, 1448 nt
Filed under: Bradyrhizobium sp.
Lineage: Bacteria; Pseudomonadati; Pseudomonadota; Alphaproteobacteria; Hyphomicrobiales; Nitrobacteraceae
Description: partial 23S ribosomal RNA
Rfam family: Bacterial large subunit ribosomal RNA
Source: RNAcentral
CAAUCAAGUGCCUUAAGGGUGUUCGGUGGAUGCCUUGGCGCUGAGAGGCGACGAAGGACGUGCUACGCUGCGAUAAGCCGUGGGGAGCUGCGAAGAAGCUUUGAUCCGCGGAUUUCCGAAUGGGGAAACCCACCUUCGAUAGCCAGAACUCCAAGACCUUGUGUCUUGGUGUUCGACCAGAAAUGCGAGAAGCCAGAUCGUGCGGGGAAACCUGCGAGGUUUUGGAUUUCUGGUUAUCAAGUGAAGGUAUGAGACUUCCGAAUAAAAUAGGAGGUUUCAAGCAAACCCAGGGAACUGAAACAUCUAAGUACCUGGAGGAAAGGACAUCAACAGAGACUCCGUUAGUAGUGGCGAGCGAACGCGGACCAGGCCAGUCAUCAAUGUGCGACAAUUGGAAUCUGUCAGGAAAGCAGAGCCUCAGAGGGUGAUAGCCCCGUACAAGUAAUGCAAACAUUGAUGCUCGAGUAAGGCGGGACACGUGCAAUCCUGUCUGAACGCGGGGGGACCACCCUCCAAGCCUAAGUACUCCUCAGCGACCGAUAGUGAACCAGUACCGUGAGGGAAAGGUGAAAAGCACCCCGACGAGGGGAGUGAAAUAGACCUGAAACCGGACACCUACAAACAGACGGAGCCCAAGAUACGUUCUGGGUGACGUCGUACCUUUUGUAUUAUGGGCCAGCGACUUAAUUUAACGAGCAAGCUUAAGCCGAUAGGCGAAGGCGUAGCGAAAGCGAGUCUGAAUAGGGCGUCAAGUUCGUUGUAUUAGACCCGAAACCUAGUGAUCUAGCCAUGAGCAGGUUGAAGGUGAGGUAACACUCACUGGAGGACCGAACGGGUGCCUGUUGAAAAAGGCUCCGAUGACUUGUGGUUAGGGGUGAAAGGCCAAUCAAACUGGGAAAUAGCUGGUUCUCCGCGAAAGCUAUUUAGGUAGCGCCUCGGACGAAUACCUCAGGGGGUAGAGCACUGGAUGGGCUAGGGGGACUUACCGUCUUACCAAACCUAACCAAACUCCGAAUACCUGAGAGUACUAUCCGGGAGACACACGGCGGGUGCUAACGUCCGUCGUGGAGAGGGAAAAAACCCUGACCUACAGCUAAGGCCCCUAAUUCGUGGCUAAGUGGGAAAGGAUGUGGGAAUCCCAAAACAACCAGGAGGUUGGCUUAGAAGCAGCCAUCCUUUAAAGAAAGCGUAACAGCUCACUGGUCUAAAUAAGGGUUCCUGCGCCGAAAAUGUAACGGGGCUCAAGCCACGAGCCGAAGCUUAGGGUGUACACGCAAGUGUACGCGGUAGCGGAGCGUUCCAUAGACCUGCGAAGGGAGACCCGUGAGGGCUCCUGGAGGUAUUGGAAGUGCGAAUGCUGGCACGAGUAACGACAAACAGUGUGAAAGACACUGUCGCCGAAAGUCCAAGGGUUCCUGCGUAAAGCUAAUCUGCGCAGGGUUAGCCGG